Molecule: non-coding RNA, 69 nt
Organism: Ictidomys tridecemlineatus (thirteen-lined ground squirrel)
Lineage: Eukaryota; Metazoa; Chordata; Mammalia; Rodentia; Sciuridae
Source: Rfam
GGGGUUGUGGCUCAGUGGCAGAGCACUCGCCUAGCACGUGCGAGACCCAGGUUUCAAUCCUCAGCACCA